Molecule: small RNA, 104 nt
Filed under: pig gut metagenome
Description: RT-5 RNA
Rfam family: RT-5 RNA
About the family: Clostridium (Firmicutes). Environment (Cow rumen (57))
Source: RNAcentral
UGCACCUGUGGCGGACAAAGCGCGGCGCAAUCAAAAACACUUUGCAGGUAGUGGCGUGGCGUUCAGUCUGGUAUCAUAAGCAAUUGCUUAUUUCAAAGCAUUUU